This 497-nucleotide ribosomal RNA is filed under the name uncultured bacterium. Its description in RNAcentral is "partial 16S ribosomal RNA". It matches the Rfam family "Bacterial small subunit ribosomal RNA", at positions 28 to 507 of the family's 1533-position model. The record is from RNAcentral.
GAUGAACGCUGGCGGCGUGCCUAAUACAUGCAAGUCGAGCGAACAGACGAGGAGCUUGCUCCUCUGACGUUAGCGGCGGACGGGAGAGUACCAAGUGGAUAACCUACCUAUAAGACUGGGAUAACUUCGGGAAAUCGGAGCUCAUACCGGAUAAUAUAUUGAACCGCAUGGUUCAAUAGUGAAAGACGGUUUUGCUGUCACUUAUAGAUGGAUCCGCGCCGCAUUAGCUAGUUGGUAAGGUAACGGCUUACCAAGGCAACGAUGCGUAGCCGACCUGAGAGGGUGAUCGGCCACACUGGAACUGAGACACGGUCCAGACUCCUACGGGAGGCAGCAGUAGGGAAUCUUCCGCAAUGGGCGAAAGCCUGACGGAGCAACGCCGCGUGAGUGAUGAAGGUCUUCGGAUCGUAAAACGCUGUUAUUAGGGAAGAACAAAUGUGUAAGUAACUAGGCACGUCUUGACGGUACCGAAUCAGAAAGCCACGGCUAACUACGUG